This 496-nucleotide ribosomal RNA is filed under the name uncultured bacterium. RNAcentral's name for it is "partial 16S ribosomal RNA". It matches the Rfam family "Bacterial small subunit ribosomal RNA", at positions 29 to 507 of the family's 1533-position model. The record is from RNAcentral.
AUGCACGCUGGCGGCGUGCCUCAUACAUGCAAGUCGAGCGAACAGACGAGGAGCUUGCUCCUCUGACGUUAGCGGCGGACGGGUGAGUAACGCGUGGAUAACCUACCUAUAAGACUGGGAUAACUUCGGGAAACCGGAGCUAAUACCGGAUAAUAUAUUGAACCGCAUGGUUCAAUAGUGAAAGACGGUUUUGCUGUCACUUAUAGAUGGAUCCGCGCCGCAUUAGCUAGUUGGUAAGGUAACGGCUUACCAAGGCAACGAUGCGUAGCCGACCUGAGAGGGUGAUCGGCCACACUGGAACUGAGACACGGUCCAGACUCCUACGGGAGGCAGCAGUAGGGAAUCUUCCGCAAUGGGCGAAAGCUUGACGGAGCAACGCCGCGUGAGUGAUGAAGGUCUUCGGAUCGUAAAACUCUGUUAUUAGGGAAGAACAAAUGUGUAAGUAACUAUGCACGUCUUGACGGUACCUAAUCAGAAAGCCACGGCUAACUACGUG